UCGUGCUUUCUGUGAAAAUUUUCGGUGUUCGCUUACUCUUUGUUCCCAUUUUACCAUCUUUUCUUCGAUCGCGCGACAAGUCCGACCGGCUGAUAGGUGAAUCGCGAUAUUUCGUCGAAAUACCUAUCAAUGUGUGGUCUGUGUUUGUAUACUGUAAAGAGCGACAACAAUGACAGCUGUUGCAACUCGUCUCCUUGUCCGGAACUCGCGUCGAAUCCAAAGUCCAUUGAAAAUUCGGCGAUAGAGACUAAAGAAACAGCAAUGGAGUGCGAAAACAAUGUCAACAGCUCGCAGGAUACUACCUUGCAAGAAUCAUCUACUGAGAAUGUAGACUUUACAGUGAUUUACAACAAACAGAAGAUUAGUGUAAAUUUUGCUUUGGAUUGCACAGUUGCCGAGUUAAAGACAUAUUUGCAAAAAAUUAUCUCAGUACCACAAGCGAUGCAGAAAGUUAUGUUUAAAGGAUUAGCCAAAGAUGAUCAGACUCUUAGAAACUUGGGAGUCACGAAAGGUGCCAAAGUCAUGAUAGUUGGAUCAAAGUUAGAUGACGUAUUGGCUGUGUCAAUUCCGACGAAACAAGACCUCAUCGACGAGGCUGUUUCUUCGGUGAGCAAAGAACCUCUUUCGCAACAAAAAAUCCAUAGGAAAGUUUUAGAUAAAGGUAUUCCAGAAGAUGUGAUGCCAGGGAUAUUAGAUAGCAAGGAACCUUUGCCUGAAUUUCCAUUAGCUGGAAUGUUAAAUAAGUCUGGAGGGAAAGUCAGGCUAACAUUUAAAUUGGAGCAAGAUCAGCUUUGGAUCGGCACGAAAGAAAGAACAGACAAAAUACCUAUGAAUUCAAUAAAAGGCGUCCACAGUGAACCUAUUCAUGAUCAUCCUGAAUAUCAUAUUAUGGCAAUACAAUUAGGUACUACGGAAGCAUCAAGGUAUUGGAUAUAUUGGGUCCCUGCCCAGUACAUAUCCGCUAUUAAGGACGCUAUUCUUGGCAAAUGGUGUUACUUCUGAUUGAUAAUUGCCGGAAAUUUCGAUUUCUGUAAAGCUUAAUUAAUCGGGUGUAAACAUUGAUACAAACUGCUGUUACAUUGACAUAAAAACUGUCAGCUAGUCACACACAUUUUUAACACUGCAACAAAAAGAAAUACAUAACAUGCGCAUUCGCCCGCAAAAAAAAAACACACACACGUACACAUCUUUUAUGAAAUAGAUUACAACACAUUAUAUCGCUUGGAACAGAUAUAAUCCUUGUAAAUAAAAAACCAGAAUAAAUUUCUGCAUCAUUACAUUAACUUGACAGCAGAAUAACAACGAAAAUUUCGUGUUGAAAUGAAAUAAAGAAAUCCGUUCAACAUUUUGUGAUUGGCCUAAUAAUAAAA
RNA transcript from Acromyrmex echinatior (Panamanian leafcutter ant), 1370 nucleotides. It is a transcript of the gene named ubiquitin domain-containing protein UBFD1, with no coding region annotated. Lineage: Eukaryota; Metazoa; Arthropoda; Insecta; Hymenoptera; Formicidae. The record is from RefSeq and is a predicted model, not a curated record.